RNAcentral lists this ribosomal RNA (456 nucleotides) under Blastocystis sp. subtype 4. RNAcentral's name for it is "SSU rRNA". It matches the Rfam family "Eukaryotic small subunit ribosomal RNA", at positions 492 to 954 of the family's 1831-position model. The record is from RNAcentral. Lineage: Eukaryota; Bigyra; Opalinata; Blastocystidae.
GGGGGAAAUUUAGAUUUGCAUUGGAUUGAGAACAAUGUACAAAUGUUAUCGAUAAACAAUUGGAGGGCAAGUCUGGUGCCAGCAGCCGCGGUAAUUCCAGCUCCAAUAGCGUAUAUUAACGUUGUUGCAGUUAAAAAGCUCGUAGUUGAAUUGAAGUGAACUUGGAUUGAUGUGAUCUUCGGAUGACGUGAAUCAAAGUUGACUCUUUCCAAAGUCAAUACAUUGGUAUUCAUUUAUCUUUGUAUUGUGUUUGGUCAUUUACUGUGAGAAAAUUAGAGUGUUCAAAGCAGACGUUUGUUUGAAUACAUUAGCAUGGAAUAAUCAUAUAAGGCUUUCAUGUUGAUUUGAUUGGUUUGAAUAUGGAAGCAAGAUUAAAAGGGACAGUUGGGGGUAUUCAUAUUCAAUAGUCAGAGGUGAAAUUCUGGGAUUUAUGGAAGAUGAACAAUGCGAAAGCAA